Long non-coding RNA from Oreochromis aureus, 2075 nucleotides. RefSeq lists it as uncharacterized. Lineage: Eukaryota; Metazoa; Chordata; Actinopteri; Cichliformes; Cichlidae. The transcript is spliced from 2 exons. The record is from RefSeq and is a predicted model, not a curated record.
AAAUGUAUUUAUUUAUUUUUUUAUUAAAUAACAGGAACAUUUGAAAAUGUGAUACAAUAAAAAGUGACACAUUCAAAGUACAAGGUUUUACUGGAAAAUAAAGUAAAAGAAGCACUACAGUCAGGCUCUAACAAACAAAUCAAACAGUUGUGGUAGAAAGGGAACUGGCAGUGUGUUUUUUCGUGAUGUGGAAAAGUGUGUUCCAACAAUUUUGACAAGAUCAUCAACAUCACUGGAUGAAAUGCAGCCAAAAACCCUAAAAAAUGAGUGAAAAAGCAGCCAGUGUCCAAAGAAAAACUUUUAAAGACAUUAAGAGAACCUAGAAAACUAUUACUCAUGAUCAUUUUUACAAAAAAUAACGAGAAAAUCUGGCUCCUUGGAAGCAAAGAUAUAAAGAAAUAAGCUGAAGAUUUUUCUGUAACCUACUAACUAUACUUGGACAUGAUAAAUAUUUGUCAGCAUGAACGUUGUUGAUAUUAACAUGGUAAUAAAUGGAUCACAGCAUGAUAGUAUUAGCAGUUAGCUUCCUCACAGACGUGCUUUCAUCACUGCAGACUUUUGGCGUCGGUCUCCUAAACACAGAUUGCACCAUGUCCUGGAAAAAAAAAGAAAAACAAAAAGAAAGAAGAUUCUUGGACGAAGAGUAACAUGUCUAGGAAAGUGGGCCCUUCUCUUGCUAACAAGGAAAUCUCUAGAAGACAAAAUGAUGUGUGAAAUUAGGUGAGGUGGCUUUGCUUUCAGCUAAACAUCCCACUCAUUUAGCCAUUUCUUUAUUUCCUCCACAGCGUCCUACUUCACUGUACAUUAUAUGGAAGUUAUUUAGCUCAGUGUUUGGUGAACCGUGUAACCUUGUUAAUUGUGUACGGCUCUACAGCCUCGCAGCUUUUCCACAGAGCCUACUUCAAGUGAGUCACGUGAAGAAGACUUAAGAGCGCUGAAGCAAAAGACAUGUUACAGCUCUACAGUUCUACGAUGAGGAGAUAAAGCGGGGGUGUAGUCAUCAGAGGCCAAAAUAGGUCAGCCUGGAAGGCCUUGCUAUCACAGACGCUUGGCAGCUGAGGGGUAGUCCACGCAGAACAAAUGCACCCCCUGGCUGUUUCACUUCAUUCGCCACAUAAUGAGCCAGACGGAACACGCACAGAUCGCCGCCGUCACUUCCACUCUCCCCGCGACCGAGGCAGGGGCCACACGUUGCCAUGGAGAUGUGGCCGCGGGGCACAGGGGCCCGGGCGAUGUGACGCUAAGUCCCUCAGUCGAACUGACCUCUCCGCCUCGAUCUGUGUCUCAUCCGGUCUUCCUUCAUAUCGCCAUCCCGUACUUUUGAUGCUCCACCCUCCAUCCUGUCCUUCUUUCUGUCUUUCAUUCAGCACCAUAAGGCACAAGGGAGAUGAGUAGAUGAAUGUGGAGUCCAGUGUCCUACACUCGUCUUCUGUGCACCGUCCCUCUGAUGUAAUGGAGUCGGUGCGGGUAUCCCUCACUCACCCAUCUUCCCCUGCAAAUAUAUUCCGGACCAGUGAACCACUGAAUGCUGAGCUCCAAUAGCUGCAGCUGCAGAAGUGGCACUCUUCAUAGACAGGCAACACUAUGUGAGCAAAUACUGAAGUAAAAGUACAUUCAUCAUAUAUUUGGGAAAGCUUAGUGCUUCCUCUCUAUCUGCACUGCACUCAGUACAAAUUUAUGGACUGUCAGGUUUUUAUUUGAGGAGAGGAUUUAUUGGUGCACAGUGGUAAAGCUUUUAUUGCAUUAUAGAAAAAAUAACCAGCUCUUCCUCUCAAUUUGAUUAUGUGCAUCCCCACCUAAUCAAGCCAAAGCAUGUAUGUCUGGAUGAUGGGAUAACGGUGAUGGGGUUUGGCUAGAUGCCACAAAAAGAAGAAAAGAUUUCUAGUGCAGUGGAGGUGUGAGCUGUUCUACCAUAUUAGGAUUUUUCCUUCUGGGACUAUGACAUUGUGAGGAUAUUUAUAUGGCAAACAUAUUCAAACAUUUGAGCAAAUUCUUUUAAAAAUGCAGGACAUUUUGUACAGCAAUCUACUGUUAUUUGUAAGCAUAGAUGCAGAAUAAAAAUGCUGGUCCCCCUA